AAAAAAUAAGAGCAUUUAACACUGAUGUUACUAAACUAUACUUCUAAUUUCAUCUCAAUAAAAAGAUAAUUAGGAGAAGCACAAUCAACUACCAAAGGAAAAGAAGAAUAAACACAAUCAGCUAAUGGCAUAGAUGCCACUAUUUGUUUUUGUACUUCAAUUAUGUAAUUUCUAUUAUAUUCAUUUAUAUAACACCGCGUAAAAUUCGCAUCCUGUUCUUGUUUGCUUCCUUUGGGACAAGAAGAGUCAAAUAACAAGAGUUACGUUAUACCACUUAAAAUCAAUGGAGAUUUUAUGCAUUUUUAGGUAAUUAAACCUUGUGAUGUUUGAGAAAGGAAUAAACACACUAACCUUAUGGCUAAAAGGGACAUCG
This 373-nucleotide unclassified non-coding RNA is filed under the name Hevea brasiliensis (rubber tree). The record is from RNAcentral. Lineage: Eukaryota; Viridiplantae; Streptophyta; Magnoliopsida; Malpighiales; Euphorbiaceae.